GCAGAGGGCAGGCCUGGUUUCAGAGGCUAGGGCAUGUAUUUAAUAAUUUCUCCAAAAUAUAGAUGUUGGUGUCGGGGCGUUCUGGAGCAGAUCCCAACGAGCCGGGCCCAGCGAAUGGAAAUGCCUUCUCCAUUUCUCGGAGAACAAGGCCAGUGGAGUAUGCCUUCUAUCAACUCUUUAAAGGGAGAACUCCCAGAAGCCAGCAGUGCCCUUGACAUAACCAGCUCAAAUUCAGGCUGCCAAGGCCACUACAAGCACCUCUUAUCACAACGCCUUGCCAGAACAUGACACAGAAUCUGUCAAAUUUCAUUUCUUAGUCCCUCAAAUCCCUAUGCUGCCCUGAACCCAGAACCUGACACCUGACAGCCCUGGAAUGUCUUUACAGACUCUUGGCGUGGUUCACUCUGAGGCUAUGAGGGGACUGAAAGUUUCCUGCCUUUACCGACACGUCUGCUCCUCAGGUUCAAGGACCUGGUGACGCCCCUUUCCUAUGUCCACUGAGGUGACAAUGCUUUGGAUGAGGAGGUGGUAUCAUGGUACUCCCGUGGGAUUUCCCGAAGAAGGUAAAGCCACUGUCCAUCAAAAGUAAAAUUCUGAUUCUCCUUGGUUCCAUCUCUUUUCUUGUACAAACACAUACUGAGUACUAUGUAGCCCCUCUUUGAGGCAAUCCCCCCAAAUGGUCACAUGUUUCAUGAGAUGCCCCACAACAGCCCAGGACAUAGGCCAACUAUGUGUUAUCUGCAUCACAUAACUCUGGUAAUACAGGAGAGUUCAGAUCUGAGGCUGUGGGAGAAGGAUAUAGAAGAAUACCGCAGUCAAUGGAGAUAGAUAGCAACACUCUUCACUGAGGAAGGUGGUACGUCUUUUAAGACAGCCAUUCGCAGAUCUUCAAGAAACUGGGACAAAAUAAAACACCCCAAAUCAGAGGUGUCUCA
RNAcentral lists this long non-coding RNA (935 nucleotides) under Mus spicilegus (steppe mouse). RNAcentral's name for it is "lncRNA (ENSMSIG00000014222.1)". Lineage: Eukaryota; Metazoa; Chordata; Mammalia; Rodentia; Muridae. The record is from RNAcentral.